This 508-nucleotide ribosomal RNA is filed under the name uncultured Sclerocystis. Its description in RNAcentral is "SSU rRNA". It matches the Rfam family "Eukaryotic small subunit ribosomal RNA", at positions 569 to 1078 of the family's 1831-position model. Lineage: Eukaryota; Fungi; Glomeromycota; Glomeromycetes; Glomerales; Glomeraceae. The record is from RNAcentral.
AGCAGCCGCGGUAAUUCCAGCUCCAAUAGCGUAUAUUAAAGUUGUUGCAGUUAAAAAGCUCGUAGUUGAAUUUCGGGGUCAGUGGGUCGGUCGUGCCACUGGUAUGUACUGGCCCUACUGAUUCCUCCUUCUUGAAGAACUGUAAUGCCAUUAAUUUGGUGUUGCAGGGAAACAGGACUGUUACUUUGAAAAAAUUAGAGUGUUUAAAGCAGGCAAUCGCUUGAAUACAUUAGCAUGGAAUAAUGAAAUAGGACGUUUGAUCUUAUUUUGUUGGUUUCUAGGAUCGACGUAAUGAUUAAUAGGGAUAGUUGGGGGCAUUAGUAUUCAAUUGUCAGAGGUGAAAUUCUUGGAUUUAUUGAAGACUAACUACUGCGAAAGCAUUUGCCAAGGAUGUUUUCAUUAAUCAAGAACGAAAGUUAGGGGAUCGAAGACGAUCAGAUACCGUCGUAGUCUUAACCAUAAACUAUGCCGACUAGGGAUCGGAUGAUGUUAAUUUUUUAAUGACUCA